Molecule: long non-coding RNA, 455 nt
Filed under: Lathyrus oleraceus (garden pea)
Lineage: Eukaryota; Viridiplantae; Streptophyta; Magnoliopsida; Fabales; Fabaceae
Description: Pisum sativum (pea) long non-coding RNA (PSAT_LNC010609)
Source: RNAcentral
AUCUAUCAACACCUUAAAGUGUCAUGAAUGGUCCAUUGAUCAUUUAUUAACAUGUUUGAAUGUUGAAGAUUUUAUCAACCCUAAAAUCAUUUACCAUGAUCAAAUAGAAUGUCAUCAACCACCAUCAAAUACAAAGGUAUAAAUGUCUAACUAAAAUGAUCAAAAUAAAAUAAAUAAUGGAUGAAUAAUAUAUGGAUGAAAAAUAUUUACGUGUAUUUACAAAAAUAUUUGGUUAAAAGGAAAAUAAAUAAAAGAAAUUAAAAUGGAAAAGAAAAGGAAAUAAGAUGAAGGAACUAAAAUAAAAAUAAGAAAACAAAAAGGAAAAAGAUAAAAAAGGAAACAAGGGGGUGCUAGGGGUUGAACCCCUGGCCUUGGGGUCAUGGGUCAACCCCGUUUCCUCUGGGCCAAGCGCCCUUGAUGUUAACAAACACGUUUAAUGAAAAUAAAUAACAAAC